RNAcentral lists this unclassified non-coding RNA (410 nucleotides) under soil metagenome. RNAcentral describes it as "partial contains 5.8S ribosomal RNA, internal transcribed spacer 2, and large subunit ribosomal RNA". The stretch from base 1 to 121 matches the Rfam family "5.8S ribosomal RNA", at positions 35 to 154 of the family's 154-position model. The record is from RNAcentral.
GAUGAAGAACGCAGCGAAAUGCGAUAAGUAGUGUGAAUUGCAGAAGUACCGUGAAUCAUCGAAUCUUUGAACGCAAAUUGCACUCUCUGGUAUUCCGGGGAGUAUGCCUGUUUGAGGGUCGCUUAACAAACCAUCGAUUUCGUUGCUUUUUUUUAAAAAAGUGAUGUUUAUCGGAUUUGAGCCGUCUUUUUUUUUUAUAUUUAAGUGGCUUAAAAUUGAUUUUUUUGGUACGAUCGAAGCGUAUUUUUAUGAUCAAUUUUUGGUUAAAGAAACGCACGCGUACCGUUAUUUAUAUGAUGUAAUACGUUUGACUAUUGGAUUUAGUUCAUUCGUAUACGAUAUUUUUCAAUAUUUGACCUCAAAUCAGGUAAGAACACCCGCUGAACUUAAGCAUAUCAAUAAGCGGAGGA